GGCAAUUUUUUUAUCCUUAUAUUCAUUUUUAUAUUUUAUCUGUAUCAUAAUUUUCUUUUUCAACCAAUAUUCAAGGUUGAUUAAAUGCUAGCUCAACAGUCUGACCUGAUACUUGAGCUUUCUUGCAUCAUGCGUGAAAAUCAAAUGACAGCCAAGCUGAUGCAUGCUAGCAAUUAGUGUCAGUUUUUUUAAAUUUUGACCUUGCUUUCAAAUAGAAGACUGAAGUUUAAUGCUGUGUUCCAUAAUUACUGAAUAACUAAUGGAUUCUACUUUCCUUUAGCUAUAUAUCAGCUAUAUGCUGAUAGAUAGUGACUACGGAGCGUUGUAUUUUAGGUGAUACAGCUGAAGUGAUGGUUCUUAUAUUUUUCAUGCUUAUCACAAAACAUUUUUUAAAAAUCUAAAAUAUAUUUUCUCUUUAAAGUAAACACUGAACAGUUCUUGUGCCUCUUAUUGCACCAAAGGGCCUGUUUGAGAGUCUAAGCCGAGAGAGGAAAUAAGACUCAAAGGAAGCGGGACCUGCAUUUGUCCUGCUAGUACCAGUGAUUCAGGCAGUCUGACACCACUAUGCAUUUUCAGGUUGUGUAAGUAACUCCUAAUGAUCUUAGGUUUUGGUAUUUAUAGAGGAACCAAUACACUAGUAAUGAAAUAAAUUACACUUAGAGAUACAUUAGUUAUUUCCCAUGUCCUAGCGUUUUUCAUGCUGUGGAUCUUCUAAAAAAUUUCCUGUAGGACCAGGAGACAAACCACACAGUUCUGAGGGCCAAAGCAGGGAAGGGGUGGGGCGGGAGAGGGUCUUCACCUUGCUAGUUAGUGAAAUGGGAGAACUGGUGGCGGUAAUGUUUAUGUGCUCUUUGGUUUGCUGCAGUGAGGGAAAUAACUGUGUCCCACUGCUCUGAGCUACUCUCACCGAGCCCAUAGGCAGGAUUCAAAGGACAUUGUUUAUUGUUACCAUUCAUGGACCAGAGAAAAAAUUAUAGCCUCUAACUGAUGAGUCAUUUUUCCUUUUUAUUGUUUGCGGAUCGAGGCUGGGAAGAGGAGCACUUGUUCAGGAGUUGCAGAACGAUAGCUGCUCCCCAAGUGUAUUUACACAUCUGAGCUUAGAUUCUAGCGGAGGAAGAGCCCAAGGAAUGCAGAGGUCACAGGCUUUUCACAGAACCAGCUUAGGAGAAGGGCUGAUCUGGUACUUAACUGGAUAGUAAUAUUUCACAUCAAGCGAUGCCUUGACUCUGCAGUUCAUUUUCCAAUUGAUUUUCUGCACAAUUGAAAGGUUGGAACUUGUUGUAUAAAACCAUGGCUUGUGUUCCUUGAAGAAUACUGUGCUCAUCGAGUUCAAAGGAAAUAGUUUAGACUGUUGGCUUGUUGUGAGUCUUCCAGAUGUACUUGCAGGGAGCAUGCAUAACCUCAUCUUCAACUUCUGCUUCAGAUGUUUGUGUCUAGCAUUUUUAAGUAGUUGAAAUUUAGUUCAUAAUUCCAUACAAAAGCUACUAUUUCUAGCCAACUAAAGCUGUAUGUGAUUAAAGAAUGUGCUCAUUUGAAUAUUUUUAGAGCUUGGCAGCAUUUCAUGUUAUGUGAUGUUUGUAAUGUGAAAACCAAGAUAUUUUUAAAAAAUAAAUUAAGCACUUGCAACUUGUGACUCUAGCAACAUACAUUGUAUUUCCUUGGCUUUAGAGAGGCUAGUCACCACAAAACUUUCUUUUGCACUCUUCUAACUUCGCAGACAUUGAAGUAAAAUGCUUGCCUUUUUUUCUUCUCCACUGAUUACACUUACUAUAGGUUAGUGCCUGAUACAUUCUUUUUCUUGACUUAGUGAGCAACAAUCCAUUCAAUGAAACAAUAGUGAGUUUCACAAAAAGGAGGAUAAGCUGAACUAUGUACAUGUAUUCAUCCAUGUACAAUCUUAUGUUUUUGGCAAUAUCAAGCCAUACUUUUCUUUAGCAGAUCACACCUUUUGUUUUAAAUUACUUUUAUUUGGCAAUUGCCAAUCUUGCCACAUCCCCUGCAUCCCCUUUGUUUAAGGGAAAUAGUGGUACCAUCAAGAUGGACUGAUCUGAUGAAUAGACUUCUGCCAUUGAAUCUGGAUUUCACUCAUGCUUCUCAUUAUGUGGGUCACAUCGAUUUAAGAUGCUGCCACUACCCUACUGUUUGCUACUAUCAGAUACCUCACAGUGAAACCAUUGGACAGGAUUGUGAGGUUUUUUGUGUACUUAUGGGCAAAAAAUCGGCUACAUUAACUUCCUUCACUGUGAAAAGGUCACCUGAGGAAAUUCUGGGAGCGCUGAAUGGCACCUCAGCCUAGUACGUUAAGAAGAGUAUGUCCUUGCUACUUUUUAUCUGAUUGUUGUGACAGAACUGUUUCCUAAAACUGUUUUUUCUUUUUGUUUUCCUUUGGUGAGAAGAUUUAGCUUUAAUUUUUACCUGAAGAUAAACACUUUGCAAACAUCUGUAAAUUUACUAUGCCCUGCUAGGCUUGCAAAUUUAUUUGCUGCUUGUCCUAUUUAGCAUAAUUUCCUUGCCUUUACAGAUAACAUCUUGAGUUUACUAGAAAUUCAAAAUCUUGGCUGCUGUAAACAGUUAUGCAUACGAUUUGUUCUUUAUCAGCUAUGCCUUAUAUGUUGUGUAUUAAAUAUUGUCUGCUGUUUGUGGUUGGAGCUGUUAAAGGAUGUGAUUUAUAAAGUUUGGUGGUUUCUUUCAGUUUUAAGUCUUCAUAAAAUGUCAGUCUGAUAACUGGAGCUGAAAACACACAAAAAAAAUCUGUUCAUUGGGCCUCCAUGAAAUAUGCCCUGACUAGGAUUUGGAGACCUCUUACAUUUCUUUCGUGAGGGAGAACCAAAACAGCAUGAACCAAAGGUUUGUAGGACUACCACCGCUGACUGGUACUCCUGCUUCAUGGAUGUUUUUCCUGAAGGAAAUACGGCUAACCAUUUAUGUUCAGGUGUGAGAAGACAGUAGGUGCGGAAAUCAACAG
Aquila chrysaetos chrysaetos is the source of this 2965-nucleotide long non-coding RNA. RefSeq lists it as uncharacterized. The record is from RefSeq and is a predicted model, not a curated record. NCBI's taxonomy places the organism in Eukaryota, Metazoa, Chordata, Aves, Accipitriformes, Accipitridae. The transcript has 3 exons.